Molecule: microRNA, 21 nt
Filed under: Zea mays
Lineage: Eukaryota; Viridiplantae; Streptophyta; Magnoliopsida; Poales; Poaceae
Description: miRt16
Source: RNAcentral
UUAGGCUCGGGGACUACGGUG